UGGAGUUUGUAGCUGCAUUGUUCUUAUUAUUAACGGGAGGAGUAAGUCGCAACUAAUUGAAAAGAUUUGCAUCAUUCCCAUUGCAGCACUAUUGGCAUGUAAGCAGGAGUCUACUGUGCCGACAAGGUCAAGCUCUUUCUAAUUCAUGGUUGUUGCUGCCAUUAAAUAUGAUAUCCAUUAUUGGAAAUGGCUUCAGGGAGGGAUUUUCUUGUUAUUGGCGGAUUGGAUUGUGGG
This 234-nucleotide unclassified non-coding RNA is filed under the name Hevea brasiliensis (rubber tree). The record is from RNAcentral. Lineage: Eukaryota; Viridiplantae; Streptophyta; Magnoliopsida; Malpighiales; Euphorbiaceae.